Long non-coding RNA from Diospyros lotus (date-plum), 1111 nucleotides. RefSeq lists it as uncharacterized. NCBI's taxonomy places the organism in Eukaryota, Viridiplantae, Streptophyta, Magnoliopsida, Ericales, Ebenaceae. The record is from RefSeq and is a predicted model, not a curated record. The transcript has 2 exons.
UUUGGGUCCGAUUCAAACCUAAGUUUUUAAAUUACGAUUCGAACCCCAAAACUCCACAACUCCAAGCAAUUGCAGAAACCCAAACUCGCCUUUGCCUCCCUCAUGCCAUCGCCGAGACAAGACAAAUAGGACUCUAUCUACAGAGGAAAUGGCCGUCUUCCUACUAAAUCUUAUAACAUUCCUCUUUCUACCACAACUCCAGGCAAUUGCAGCAGCAGCACAAGCUCCAGGCAAGUGCAGUGGCUGCUGCGGCGACGGUCUGGUGAUCCGGCCGCCGUUCCGUCUUAAACCCCGUCGUGAUGAUCAUCAGGCUGCUGCAGCAGGAGGCGAUGACUGUGCCUUGCCCCGUUACUACCUUUCUGAAACUGCUAGAGCUCUCCCCCUCUCUGAAACUGCCAGUCAAGUAUAUCGACUAUGCAUCACACGUUAUCCACACUUCUUAUCCUGAUCUUGACUGCUUUGCCAAACACUUUCCAGACACCAUCAAUCCGUCUUCUUGUGACCUUGUCCCUUCGGAUUCGCAGAAGAUUACCGUUUAAGUGACUUCAGCAUCUUCAACUGGUCAUCCACAAUGCCGGACAGCUACUCGUCUGGCUACCUUAGCGACCCCAUUCGCAAUGUUUAUGCUAUACCUUCGGACGCCUCCUUCGCGUCUUAUCCCAUGUUUUCCUCCAAAAAGAUGUGCGAAAUUUAUUCAUUUCCAGAUAUUUCCGAUUCAUCUCAUCGUGAGCUUAGAUUCAAAUGGUCCCAAGUCGCUUGUCAACCUCGAAUGUGUCCCCCAGAAAUCAGCCCUAGCCAACGCAAAACUGCAAAUUUGCUCUGAGGCUUAUUUCUUCUUCCCGUAACAAUUCUAGCAUUGUACUGUUUCUUGAGCAGGAUUAAAAUAAAAAAAGAUGAUCAAGCAAUUUUUGGAACACUAUAGAAGUCGCAAGCCUGCAAGAUAUAUUAGAGUAUUUUAGUUGUUUAGUUUUGUUGUAAUUUUGUACUGUUAUUUUUCAUUCCUGAUGUUGAACACACAAUGGCAGUUAUGUCAUUUUAAUGUAUUAGUUCUAGGAAUAUUUAAUAGAGGGUUGAAACCCAGAUGGGUUAAUGAGACAUUUUAUAUUUCUCU